Molecule: long non-coding RNA, 98 nt
Organism: Alosa sapidissima (American shad)
Lineage: Eukaryota; Metazoa; Chordata; Actinopteri; Clupeiformes; Clupeidae
Exons: 3
Source: RefSeq, a predicted model, not a curated record
UGUUUGUGUUUGUGUGUGUGUGUGUGUGUGUGUGUGUGUGUAUGUGUGUGUGUGUGUGAGUAAAACAGCUGUAAGUGCUAACCAUUCCCUGCUUUUUA